Long non-coding RNA from Felis catus (domestic cat), 3464 nucleotides. RefSeq lists it as uncharacterized. Lineage: Eukaryota; Metazoa; Chordata; Mammalia; Carnivora; Felidae. The transcript is spliced from 6 exons. The record is from RefSeq and is a predicted model, not a curated record.
GGGAGUUGAGUUUUACCAACCAAAGUCAGUUCAGAGGCUUGUUAAUAUUCCUAAUGGAGAAAUACACUGAAAAGCAAUCAGAAGACAGCAGCAUUCCUGAACAAGAACCUCAGCCCUGAAAAGAAAAGCAAGGAUAGAAUAUUACAGCAGCCAAGUGGAGAAAUGUCUAAAUAGAUCAGCAGUAACACAGAUUAUCCUGUUAAGUCACCGUGCGACAUUAUUUACGUAGAAAAUACGGAGGCAUGUGCAUGGGGUCGGUUACCCAAGAAGCAAAGACAGCUUUUCUGCAAGAAUAUCAUUAAAGGAUCCUGUUAUGGACCUUCCAGAUUGCAUGGAAGAAGGGGGUGUGAGAAGAAGAAAAUGGAGAGACACUUCAAGGUUGCUGCACAUCACAACAUAACUAUUCAGACCAACGCCACAACAUCUUGGAGGUUCACAGGUUGAUCCACCCGGUCGGCAAAAUAAAAGCGGAGUGGGAGCAGCAGGAAAAACGGAGUCGAGCUAGCUUGAAGUAUUAGACACUGUCAGCACUGGUCAAAAAUAAACUUUCAUCCUGAUAAGUGUAUCCCCACAGCAAUGUCCUAUUUGUUUGCUAAUUAUCAGAUCCAGCAUGAGAUCUACAAGUAGAGGUAACCUAGAGAAAUAUUACAAUUUUUCUUAUUCACAAAUUUUAGUUAUUUCUCAUGAAAUGACAAGUGAACUGGAAACGGUCCUAAAAAAAGAAAAGAAAACAAAACAAAGCAAAAAGCAAAACACCUCUUAUUAAAUGUAGAAAGUGGACCCUGCAUCAGCAGGAACUUUAUUUCAAAAAGAAAACUACCAAAUGCAUGGAUGAAAUCUGUGUUAACAUAAGUAACAAAAGGACAAGGGCCGCUUUUUAAAAAAGUAAAAUAUAUGAAGUAUGCUGUAUAACCUUUAAAAUGUAAAGAAACAAACCAUGAAUUUAAAUACACAGUCCUUGAGAAACAUAAAAAGGAAAAAACACUCUCAUUUCUAUGCCAGCAGUCCCUCCAAACUUAAGAACCAUAAAUAUAUACAUACAUAUUAUAUAUAUUCUGGUAGUAAUGACUGUGUUUAAGAGUUUGUGCACACAUAAUUUGGCAUUAUAUAAUAAAACACCUUUUUUUAUUAACAGAAGCGAUUGUGGCUCAAAGCAACAAAAACUCAUGACUUAACACAUAUUUAAGAAUAACUGCUAUUCAGUACACUGAGGUUUGGCCACCUUCUGCUUGCACUGGUAACAUAACAAAUUCUUAGAAAAAUGACCUCAAUUUACAUGUGAUCACAAAAUACUGGUCUUUGUUGUUGGAUUUUCAAUUAAGUUGCCUUUUUCUCUUGAUAAUAACUAUGCAUAAAUCAGCAGAUUUAGGACAUCUACUUUGGUAGGUAUAAGUAUCUACUUAAAUUCUUUUACCGAAAGCCCCAGUUCAAUAGGUAAAUACAAUUUUCAUUUAGAGAGCUUGUAAUAGUCAGUAUUAAAAGCCUUUGCUUCAAUUUUUAGAGAAAGUCCUGUUUAUAUUUAACCUAUGCUUUAGGAUUUUUCAGGUCAAAUAUGUUUCAGAGAUCCUCCAAAAUCACAGAGAAAGGACUCAUACAUUGUCUGCUCUUAAUUGGUUCAUACAAGGCAACUUACUGAUUUUUAAAGCACUAUUUAUCAUUUUUUCACUAUGACUCAGAGCAAUAAAUGUGUUUUUACAUUUCAACCAAUUACACAUGUGUACACAGAAUUCAGAAACAAACUUACCCACACUCCAUCUUCCAUCUUUUCCUAUUAAAAAUGAAUAAUGCUCCCUUGCCCAGCCAGCUAUAUUGAUUUUACAACCCACUGCUGGAUUCAGAACCUGAUAUAAAAAGAAGUUCCCUACGCAUCUUUUUUACUUUUUAUUUUUUUCCCCUUUUCCCUUUACCAAGGGUAACACUUCCCAGCAGUAAUACACGAUCUCACUUGUAAGCCUUGAUUUGGGGGCCUGGGGGUGUUACUUAGAAUGGGAUCUCAGAUUCGGAGACACCUUCCAUCAUGCCCUCCAUGGCACUGUUAUCUGAGGUAACAAUCUCACAAAGAAAUACACAUCGAGAAAUAAACUGUAGUUUCUCUGUUGCUGUUGUUUAAGAAUAAAAAUAGAUAUGUAAGCAAAAUGGACAUUCACACCAUGUCGGUCGGUCUAAAGUGAGUAAUGCAUUCUUACUGUAAUGAGUUUUUAGCGUAUUUAAGAUGUAAUUCUAAUUAGUUCAAUUUUUACUAAAUGUAUUUGGAGGAGCUGUCACCUGGUAAAGACUCCAGCAACAUGAAUGGAUCCAUAAUCUUUUCUACAAUCCAGAGGGGCCCAUGGCUGAGCAAGUAACAGGCCAGGAGAAGGGAGAAGCUACUAAUCAUCGCUCUGGGGAGAAGACUGAAUAAUUGAAACAAAUCACAACAGUAAAGCAAUCCUCCUGGGCAAAAGCACAGAAACUAAGCACAGUGAGCCACACACCUCCUAUGUGCCUGGGGAUCCUUCCUGGGAUAGCCUCCCCACCUCUCACCGGAAGCCCCUCACCAGGAAACGGUCAACACUCACAGCAUGCCCAGGACCUUGGCAAGUAUAAUACAGGCUGGGGUAAAGAAGUUUGCUAUUUCAGAGUUCUGGUUCCACUGGUUCCACGUUGUGAUCGCCAGUUACUUCAGAUACAAAUAAAUCUAUAUGCUCUAAGAAGUGGGGAAAAAAGGUUGGGGUGGGAGGCGGGUGAUGAAGACUAGAAAUGUGAGGGAAGAAGGAAAGCAAUACUGGAAAUAACCGCCCGUAUUCCCUUCGGGUAGAAGAAAAGUAUUUAGAGACUCACAAGACUGGACACGGAAGUACGACUACAUUUCCUCUAGAAUUCUAAUUGGAUGAAAUGUCAGUCUGGCCUAAGGAAUACUUGCAUAUCUGGGCUUCCCGCUGUACAUCUGGCAAAGAGCUAUGACUUACGGUCUUCCCAGCUACCUGCCCCUGGAUUUAUCACCACUGUGUUGGCUCCUUCUGGGCCCGUGGAUGUGCCCGCUCCACCCCCUCCCCUCAUGAGUCUAGACGUUAUGUUGCAGUGGUUCAAGCCCUGGCCUGCUGGUUCGUACACAGCAUCCCUUCGGCAAGAUUCAAUGCUAUGGAAAGACAAAAUCCAAGACAUCUAUGUCACAGUGAAGAGACCCUGGAAAGGCCUCCCUCUGUAUGACAUUGAGCAGUUAACUGCAUUCUAAUGAAAAAGGAAACAAGAUUUUUGUUUUGUUUUGUUUUAUUUUGCUUGUACCCCUACCACAAAUUUAGCAGAUACAAUACACUUACCAUGUAAUGCAUGGGUAUGGCCACCUCUCAGGAUUGUAUUUAAAGUGAUUUUAUCUGGGGUGCCUGGGUGGCUCAGUCAGUUAGGCGUCUAACUUUGGCUCGGGUCAUGAUCUCAACGCUCCCGAGUUCGAGCCCCACUUUGGGCUCUGUGCUGACAGCUCAGAGCCU